RNAcentral lists this ribosomal RNA (167 nucleotides) under uncultured bacterium. RNAcentral's name for it is "partial 16S rRNA". It matches the Rfam family "Bacterial small subunit ribosomal RNA", at positions 355 to 514 of the family's 1533-position model. The record is from RNAcentral.
UAGGGAAUCUUCCACAAUGGACGAAAGUCUGAUGGAGCAACGCCGCGUGAGUGAAGAAGGGUUUCGGCUCGUAAAACACUGUUGUAAGAGAAGAAUGACAUUGAGAGUAACUGUUCAAUGUGUGACGGUAUCUUACCAGAAAGGGACGGCUAAAUACGUGCCACCAG